This is a long non-coding RNA of Trifolium pratense (red clover), 893 nucleotides long. RefSeq lists it as uncharacterized. Lineage: Eukaryota; Viridiplantae; Streptophyta; Magnoliopsida; Fabales; Fabaceae. The transcript is spliced from 7 exons. The record is from RefSeq and is a predicted model, not a curated record.
UACCCUCCGAUCUGUUUCACCGAAUCACAAAUUCCAAUCCCUAAUUGAAGAAUCAAGGCUUACUGAACCCAAAUCGAAGCUCAGUGAAACGAAUCGAAGCUCUCUCAGCUCGUUCCGCUCCCUCCGACCGAAAACACAAACAGGGGACAAGGCAAAGGAUCAGAAACCAUUUGGCAGUAACUGCUUAGUAUAUUAAUAUCAAUUGAAUUCACUCAGAUUCAGUUCAAAAUAUUCCUAAUUUUAUAGUCAAUUGAAGUUAGCCUAUGUUGUUGAUGCAUAUGCCUCUUAUGGGAGGUCUGAUGCUUUGAAUGGAAAGUCAUUGUGAAAAAAAAAUUAUGCAAAGGACAAGCAUGAUGUUGUCUAGUUUUGGCUGGAGAAAGGCAAGCUUCAUGAGUAUCUUGUGUGCACACAUUAUUUUGAUGGAAGUUGAACAUCUUAUUUAGAAUUUUUAUUGUUACUGGCCAACAUGAUUAAUUUGGAGUUAAGUGUCAUGAUAUUUAAAGUUAGUAAUAUCCAUUACGAUGCCAAUGUGGAUGGAUGGCGGGAUCUUGAUUGGAGUAGCAAGGCCAUACAUAUUGCUGCUAGAAACCAAACAAAGUGGUCACAUUAGGUUGCUAAGUAGUCUUUGUUUACCCUUCAGAAAUGGUAGAAAAAUAGGUUGAGAUUGUAAGGGAAGAAGGAUUGAAGAUAUCUCAACCAGCUCUUGAUCCAAAUUCGACAGAGAUACAUCAUAGAAUUACAGUUAGAGCUAGGACCAACAAAGUGCAUAGGUGUUCAAUGAUCCCACGACAUUAACAGAGGAGGAGCUGUAUGAUUUGCGAGACCGCUGGGCAACUUGUUUUCUUGACCUAUAUAUAAUCCUGAGGUAGAUUAUGAUGAUGCCGACAAGAAAG